UUCGGGUGAUUGCCCUAGUGCGGUUCGCGCGGCGUGCCAGCCAAUCUGACCUGUUGAUUGGCAAGGAAGAAUACGUGUCAGGUCCGGAAGUCGCGAUUGGCUAAAUUUCCGAUCUUGAGAGAGCUUAUCAGCGAAUCGGCCGAUUUGCCGUAAUAAAGAAAUCGGCUAUAAAGCAACCGAUCACUGUAGCAGUGUAGACAAAAACUACUGGAGUAAUUGACACAAUGCUAUAGUAACAACACUAGGAACAGAUCUAAUCGGCUAUAUGUAAAAUAAGUGAAUUAAAUAGCAGAAUAUAAGGAAAGCCGAAACUGCCGAUUCCUAGCUAGAUAACUGGUGAUAAAACUAGAAAAACAGGUAAAACCUAUGAUUCUAGUAAAUAUCGAUAACUAGUGAAUAAAUCUAAACGAAACGACAGCGAUGCGCCCGAAGUUAAAGCUUAGAAUUUACUCGGUAAACGGAACUUACAAGAUCGGCCGGAGGUCAAGUUGAUGCAGCCCCGCCAACCCGUACGAACUCGUGAAAAAGAAGAAAGUAUUUGGCGAAGUCGCCUGCUUGAAAGUAAGUACGAGGAAAUAGUAGUUUGUUAUAUUGAUUUAUUGAUGAUUACAGAUCUACAAAGGUAGCUAUUUAUAGCCCCGUAAGACGACUCCUUAUCUGACUAGAACUCUAUCCCUAAUUCAAAUAGAAAACGAAUAUUUACAAGUAUGAUCCGUACUAGGUUGGUUAUUAUACGCUUCACGGGCUGAUCUCCCCUUCAUCCUUCUAUUCCUUUCCAAGCCCAUACCGGCCCAAUUAUUCCAACCUCCUAAUCGGCCGAUUCCUCAUCGGCAAAAGGUAACCGAUCGGGAACCUGGCGUGUCCGAUCCGAACCCCAAGGGUUAAGCGAGGCAGAAGUCAUCGGCCGAUCCCGUACUGUAGCAUUGGCCGAUCUUGGACUGUAGCGCCAACCAACCGAUCUCGAACUGUAGCGCCAUUCGGCCGAUUUCCAACUAUACUUUCCUAUUUCCUCUUCUCCUGGCGCCGAUUUCACUCGUGACGAAAUCUGGCGUCAACACAUGCCCCCCAGUUUCGGAGUAAAACAUAGUCUUUACUUCAAAAUUCUUUUCAACUUCCCCUCCGAAACAACCGCAAUGAAAAUAUCCUUCCGUUUCGCGGUCUUCAACCUGAUGAUUGCAAUCUUUUCGAAACGGGCGCCCACGACAACCACUACUCCCAAAAAACUCGAAACGCCGGCGCGGUAAAAAUUCCACUUUUACCCCUCCUUAGGCGCCCUUUAAAUAUCAGUUCACCCUGUUCUUCUUUUCGAGCUCACGUCCUUCUUCCUCAGCGCGCGCGAGCCUUCUUCCUCCUCCAGUUCUUUCCCUUAGUUCCAAAGCUUGCUAGUGCCAUCUUCCUGUCGCUUUUCCUCCUCCCAUCCAAUGGCGGCACCUUCAGGCAACUCACCCGGGCGCGAUGCUCCAGAAAUGGCGCCUCCGGCGGAAGUGGCGACAGCGGUUGCUCCAUCGUCAGAAGAAGGAGCUUCAUCGGAGAUACCAAUGGCGAUCCCCAUAGCGGCCUCAUCCUCCGCAGCUGCACCGGCGGUCACGCCGACUACAAAGAACUUCAUCCCAGAGGUUAUUACCGAAUCCUUCCUCUAUCGGCAAUGCAUUUACUUUAGAUCUAUUUCUUACUUUUGCACCCCCCCCCUUUCCUUUUUAGGCGGUUAAACAUCGCAUCACCAUCCAUCUUACGGGAAAUCCCAGCCUUAUUUGUCUCGGACCUAUGGGGAACCCAGAUCCAAUAGAGCUCAUCAAUUUAGAAACCCACAGAAUCUCCUUCAAACAAUCCACCAUGGACCUGGAUCACCGGUUGGGCACCUUUAGGUCUUGGCCGAAUGAAACCCCGGGUUGGAGGGAGUGGUACCAACUGAUAGCCGAACCGAAGAGGGUCCAAUGGGACGAGCUCAAAAUCGGCCAAUGCAUCAACCUGUCUUUGUCCCAGAUGGAGCGAAAUGAACCAUUGGUGAUAGCAGCCUCUUACUUCUGGUCUGACGCCCUUAAUGCAUUCUUGUUUGGGCAUGGACCUAUGACCCCCACACUAGCCGAUGUGGUUCUACUGACCGGCCUUGAUAUCUCCUCCCCGGACACACCUUUCCACCUCUUAGCCGCAACAUCGCAUCGGCUGGACACGAGAGGAAUCGGCGGGUGGAAAGGAUUCAUCAGAUGUAACAAAAGGGCCGGGUCUGUUGAGAAUAGGGAGCACACGGCCUUUUUAAUGAUGUGGUUGGAAAAACAUUUCUUUUGCGGAAGAGCAGCCGGCCCAUCAACCAACACCUAGGCUUUAGCCGAAGCGCUAUCGGCAGGAACCCCUGUUCCCCUUGGAAAACACUUGCUAGGGGAGGCCUACCACAUGCUCCACCAAAUUGGCAUCAAACUCUCCAAGGGGGAGCCGAUUGGAAAUCCAGGCGGACCCUGGUGGUUCAUCAAUUUGUGGCUGAACCUUUAUAUGAGCAAGAUCUCUCAGCAGAGAGUGGAACACAUGAUGUUCCCUAACAUAGAAUCGGCAGAAGAUUCUACUGCUCGACGCCAAUGCACAUCCUUUGGUGAAGCGGAGUCGGCCUUCCCGGGUUGCCUGUACUCUGCUACAAAAGUGGCCGAGUACUUUCGAUGGUUUUACAACGGCUUUAAUGAAGAUGCAACCGUCUGGUUUCCUUAUCAGCGGGACGACCCAAUCUUCGAACUCCCAACUUGCUUCGACUCGACGACUGGCCGAUUCGACGAAGAACUCACCGAUGAGUUAAUCAAGCGAGGAAUCCUGUCAGCCAACUUCUUUUUGGGGAAAGAUGCCCCUACAUAUGAGUUCUAAAAUCCUUCUGCUGCAGCACGCCAACUCGGCAUGGGUCAGCUGCCGAUUCAAGUAUAUUUUACUAGCCGAGCCAAGUUCAGAGAUGGGCUCACAACAGGUCUGGACUACAGUCGGCUGCGAGACCGGAUCCCGGACUCCACUACUAUUGACCUGAACAACUGGAUAGUAGCUCCCUUCGCUAUCCAGCCAUUCAAGCUUUGGUGGGCCGAAUGGAAACAAUUCCUUUUCUGCAACUCCGCAUCGGCAUACUGCAAUCUCCUGGACCCAACCAACAUCGACCCAAACGCCGAGGUAUUUUUCCUUAGCCGAUUUUUAUUCUUCUAUCAACGCAGCUGAACACUAAUGUUUUGCCAUUGUUUCAGUCCGAGAACCGUGUCCCCCCAACACACAGCCGGAGUGGUCGGUUAAUUGAAGAUCAUCCAUACACCACCUACCCUCUCAUCGGCUAUGAUGCUCCGUCUGUAGACGUAAUUGCUGGCCGAUCGAAGCAAGUGCAGAAAAAGGUCACCAAGAAGACCAGUCGCCGAGUCCGGGCCCGUACAGAAUCGGCGGAUCCUCCCAUGCUCGUAUCGGCAGAGACUUCGGUCGCACCACCCCCUCAAGCUACCAGAGAGAUCGACACUCAAGUCGUCGCGCAAGCCGGGGCAGCCGCCGCAUCACUGCUGUUAGAGGCCGUGCAGGUAAACUUAUGUUUAUCCCUUCCGAUUGUCGUUUCGAUAUUAAUCCUUCUUAUCUUAGACUGCACAGAUUACCCCCAUGGACACACAACAAUCGGCAGCAACCCAAUCGGCCAUCGACGCGCCCCCACUCCCAUCCGUUGAGGUAUAACACAAUUUCACCGAUUCCCCUAGUAUUUGAAUAAUAUGCUUACUCAACCUUCUGACACUGGUCAUCGGCAAGCCAAGCGCUCCUCAACCACUGUUCCCCUCUCGGGAGGCUGGUCCAAGUACAGCGCCAAUCAUCGUGGAGUCUUCCUCUUCUGAUGAACCCAUGGCACCAGCCCCUGAACCGAGGAUGACGGCUUCCCAAAUGCAGCUUGAGGAGAUCCGAUUCAAAGAGGUAAGAAACCUUUCAACUUUAUUUAGCCGAUUUGCUAUCACCAUCAGCCGAUUCAUUUUUCUUCUUUACUAUUUCCAGGAACAGGACACCCCUGACAACAGCCUUUUCUCCUUUGCGGUCGCCCUCUCUGACGACGAAGAAGUCGCCUCCCGCCAGAUCACCUUGAGCUCCAUCCCCGACGACGUCCGGGCCAAGCUUACCAACAUCCGAUCCCUUCUUCAAGGAGACAUUGGCCGAUUGGUAGAAGAUGCCUCGCCGAUUCGGCAGCUCUUUGGUGACGUCAGUGUUGGGAUACGAGGUAGGCUACACUAGCGCAAUUCAAAAAUUCUACCACGUAUAACCAGGAAGAACUGCCGUAUAAGGAUCACGGGAUUACCACUCGACGCACUACUGGUGCGGAAGAUGUAGAUAUGCGUCGAUGCAGUGAAGACGAUCACGUAGUCGUACGUAGUCGAUCACGUCCAGCAGCUCCUCAGCAGCUCGUCCACGUGCAGCAAGAUCACCUCCGGUGCCACGGCUCGUCGUCGGCUCAUCGUGGCUCAUCGGCGGCUCGUCCAAGUGCUGCAGGCGCAACACCUCCAAGGUAUCCACACGUGCAGGGAGGAAGUGUCGCAAACCGGACUGCUAGAUCCGCGAGUUGCAACAGGCGAGGGCGUGGGUGGCGCGGCAGGUGUGUUUCGCCAAAAGGUGUAAACCCUAGGGCGCCCCCACCCCUCUAUUUAUAGAGGUUCCUGAUGGGCCUCUGGAUCCGAGGCCCAUUAGUACUUCUAAACCUAAUCCAACUCGGAUCAGAUCCGAAUUGGGCUUCCAGCCCCUUAAGUGUGUGACCCUAUGGGUUCGGAUACGUAUAGACAUGGCCCGAGUACUCCUACUCGGCCCAAUAGUCGGUAGCGGCCUCUAGCAAGACGUGCCAACUCCUAUACGCACACGAAGAUCAUAUCAGACGAACCAUCACAACAUAAUAUACAUGCUAUUCCCUUUGCCUCACGAUAUUUGGUCUAGCUUCAAGCCGACCGCUCUUUCUCGAUCCUGUGAUUUGGAAUCCCUUUGUAGGUUAACUCUUAACCGUACGUAGCAUGGCCAUGCAUUUUCGGAUCCGAUCACUCGAGGGGCCCAGAGAUAUCACUCUCACUCAGAGAGGGGCAAAUCUCAUCUUGAUUGACCAUGUCUCAUAGCAUGCUUCUUGACAAACCCGAAAGCUACCUUUAUAACUACCAUAUUACGGCGUAGCGUUUGACAGCCCCUAAGUAGGUCGAUCCACAUCUAGAAUACAUGCGACAAUCUCAGGUCUAAGGACAAAGCGUAUAUGUUGUUUAAAGAGAGAACUACUUCUCGUGUUGGGUCAGUCCUAACACAUGUCUCCACAUGUGUCCACAUUAUUAGUUCAACAUCUCCAUAUUCAUGACUUGUGAAACAUAGUCAUCAACUAAUACAUGUGCUAGUCUAAUAUUCAUGUGUGUCCUCACAUGAACUCCGACUAGGGACAACUUUAGAAUAACCAUACAAGUAAAGAGUUUCACAUACAAUUCACAUAAUUGCAAAUCAAUUCAAGUAGCCUUUAAUGGAUAUUCAAUGAACACAAUAUACAAAUCAUGGAUACAAAUGGAAUAUCAUCAUCUCUAUGAUUGCCUCUAGGGCAUACCUCCAACAGUCUCCCACUUGCACUAGAGUCAAUCUAGAAGGUACCUAAUACUCAUAGCUCUUACAUGCGCAUCAUGCUUAGCCUGCGGGAGUGGUUUUGUCAACGGAUCAGAAAUGUUCAGAUCCGUGUGUAUUUUGCAUAUCUUGAUCUCACCCCGGUUAACGAAGUCUCGAAUGAGAUGAAAUCGCCGCAUUACAUGUUUGUUCUUCUGGUGGUUCCUUGGCUCCUUUGCUUGCGCAAUUGCCCCAUUAUUAUCACAGUAGAGAUUCAAUGGGCUGGACGCAUUCGGGAACACACCAAGCUCAAUGAGGAAAUUCCUUAUCCAAACACCUUCCUUCGCGGCUUCCGAAGCCACGAUGUACUCGGCUUCUGUCGUAGAAUCGGCCACCGUCUCCUGCUUGGAACUCUUCCAACUAACAGCACCACCAUUUAGCGUGAACACAAAUCCUGAUUGUGACUUUGAAUCAUCUCUGUCGGUUUGGAAACUAGCAUCGGUGUAACCUGUUACAACGAGCUCCUCCUCACCUCCAUAGACGAGGAACAUAUCUUUAGUCCUUCUCAAGUACUUAAGAAUGUUUUUCACCGCUGUCCAGUGACUCUCACCUGGAUCAGAUUGGUGCCUGCUUGUCAUACUUAGCGCAUAUGAAACAUCUGGGCGAGUACUUAUCAUUGCAUACAUGAUAGAUCCAAUAGCCGAGGCAUAUGGCACUCUACUCAUGCGAUCCCGCUCAUCAGCAGUCGAAGGACACUGAGUCUUGCUGAGAUGUAUGCCAUGUGACAUAGGCAAGAACCCUUUCUUUGCCUCUUCCAUGCUGAACCGCUUCAACACUUUGUCAAUGUAAGUAUCUUGGCUUAAACCUAUAAGCCUUCUCGAUCUAUCUCUAUAGAUCUUAAUGCCCAGAAUAUAUGCCGCUUCCCCUAAGUCCUUCAUCGAAAAACUAUUUUUCAGUGAAGUCUUUACGGACUCAAGCAUAGGAAUGUUAUUUCCAAUCAGUAAUAUGUCAUCCACAUAUAAGAUUAGAAAUACUACAGAGCUCCCACUAACCUUCUCGUAAACACAAGACUCUUCUUCGUUCUUGGUGAAGUCAAACCCUUUGACCACUUCAUCAAAACGAAUGUUCCAACUCCUAGAUGCUUGCUUCAAUCCAUAAAUGGAUCUCUGAAGCUUGCAUACCUUUCCAGCAUUUUUCGGAUCGACAAAACCCUCGGGCUGUAUCAUAUACACGUCCUCAGCUAGGUUUUCAUUCAGGAAAGCUGUCUUGACAUCCAUCUGCCAUAUCUCAUAAUCGAAAUAUGCAGCUAUAGCUAGAAUAAUCCGAAUGGACUUAAGCAUCACUACAGGUGAGAAGGUCUCGUCGUAGUCAACUCCUUGAACUUGUCGAAAACCUUUUGCGACAAGUCGUGCUUUAUAGAUGUGAACAUUUCCAUCCAUGUCCUUUUUCUUCUUAUAGAUCCACUUGCACUCUAUGGCUUUAACACCAUCAGGCGGGUCAACCAAGUUCCAAACUUGAUUGUCUCCCAUGGACUCUAUUUCGGAUUGCAUGGCAUUCUGCCAUUUUUCGGAGUCUGGGUCCAUCAUUGCUUCUGCAUAUGUCGCAGGCUCAUCAUUGUCCAACAAUAAUAUUUCCCGCAUUUCGCGGAGCCUUGCCGACCUUCGUGGUUGUGGCGGUGCUUCUCUUGCCAUAGGUAUCUCAACUUGUUCUGCUACGUUAGCAUCACUUAUUGAUUCUUGCCCGAUCGGCUCAUCUUGAACUUCUUCAAGAUGCACUGUCUUUCCACUAUUUUCUCCUUUGAGAAACUCUUUCUCUGGGAAAACCCCAUUCCGAGCGACAAACACUUUGCCUUCUGAUCGGUUGUAGAAAUAAUAUCCCAAAGUUUCCUUUGGAUAUCCCACGAAAAUGCACUUAUCCGACUUGGGUGUGAUCUUGUCCGACUGAAGUCGCUUGACAAACACUUCACACCCCCAAAUCUUUAGAAAAGACAAACUAGGAACCUUUCCAGUCCAUAUCUCAUAUGGUGUCUUAACUAUGGAUUUAGAUGGUACCCUAUUAAGUGUGAAAGCUGAUGUUUCUAGAGCGUAUCCCCAAAAUGACAACGGUAGGUCCGACUGGCUCAUCAUUGAUCGAACCAUGUCUAACAAAGUUCGAUUACGUCACUCGGACACACCGUUUCUCUGAGGUGUUCCAGGCGGCGUAAGUUGUGGAACAAUUCCGCAACUCUUUAGAUGAUUGCUAAACUCGUGGCUCAAAUACUCGCCUCCACAAUCAGAUCGUAAGGCCUUAAUUUUCUUGCCACCCUGAUUUUCAACUUCAUUCUGAAAUUCCUUGAACUUUUCAAAGGUUUCAGACUUGUGCCUCAUCAAGUAGACAUAGCCAUAUCUACUAAAAUCAUCAAUGAAAGUUAUGAAGUAUUGGAAUCCUCCUCUAGCCGUCGUGCUCAUUGGUCCGCAUACAUCACUAUGUACAAGUUCCAACAAGUCUACUGCUCUCUCAGGAAAUCCUGUGAAAGGCGUCUUGGUCAUCUUGCCUAGCAAGCAAGCCUCACAUGUCUCGUAUGAUUCAAAAUCAAACGAAGUUAGAAGUCCAUCAGAAUGGAGCUUCUUCAUGCGCUUUUCACUUAGAUGACCCAAACGACAAUGCCACAAGUAGGUAGGACUCAAAUCAUUAGGCCGAGGCCUUUUAGCACUUAUAUUACAGACAGGUGAACCUUCAAGAUUUAAAACAAAUAAUCCAUUCAUAAUGGGUGCAAAAGUCAUAAACAUAUUAUUCUUAGAGAUCACACAACCAUUAUUUUCACUCGCAAAUGAAUAACCAUCCUUCAUCAAACAUGAAGGAGACAAAAUGUUUCGACUUAAACUAGGAACAAAAUAACAAUUAUUCAACUCCAUAAUAAAUCCUGACGGGAGGUGGAGUUGCAUCAUCCCGACGGUCAACGCAGCAACUCUUGCAUUAUUGCCCACGCGGAAAUCAACUUCUCCUCUUCCCUGCAUCGAAUUGCAAAUAUGAGCAACCGAUCCGGUAUCAAAUACCCAAGAAUUAAUAAUUGUAUCAGCGAGAAAUAUGUUGUCUAUAACAUUAACAACAAGCGUACCUGAGGUAGAAGUACUCUUACUUCCGCCAUUCUUCAACGAAGCUAGGUACUGCUUGCAGUUUCUCUUCCAGUGACCAAGUUCAUGACAGUAAAAGCACUCUUUGUCUGGAGCAGGUCCAGGUCCAGCUUUAACCUUGGGCGCUGGAUUUGGCUUGGACGUUCCAGCCUUGCCCUUCUUUUUCCAAGAAUUGCCCUUCUUCUUAAAGCUAGGCUUGUUCUGUACAGCCAUCACAUGGCUGGUACUAGCGCUUUUCUUGAUGUCUACCUCUGCUGUCUUGAGCAUUCCACACAGUUCAUUCAAGCCCUUCUCCGUCCCAUGCAUAUGGUAGUUCGAGAUGAAGUUCCCAUAGCUAGGCGGAAGAGAUGAAAGAAUGAAGUCAGUGGCCAACUCUUUGCCCAUUGGGAAGCCCAGCUUCUCCAAUCGCUGAGUGUAACCAACCAUCUUGAUUACAUGUGGUCCUACUGCUGCGCCUUCUGCUAACUUACACUCCCGAAAGGCUUUGGACACAUUGAACCUUUCGGUCCUAGCCUGUGUCUGGAACAUGUCCUUGAGCGCCACGAUCAUAUCGUGUGCCUCAUGAUUUGUUUCGAACUGCAUCUACAGCUCGGGUUCCAUGCAAGCAAGCAUAAGGCAGCUUACCUCAAGAUUAGCAUCAAAUGCCUUCUUGUAAGAAGCCUUAACGGCAGCAGAUGCAUCAUCAGCAGGUACUGGUGGUAGUGGGGUGUCUAGAACAUCUUCCUUUUUAUCAGCCCUGAGAACAAUUCUCAGGUUACGGAUCCAAUCCGAGUAGUUUGUUCCAUUCAACUUGUCCUUCUCAAGGACCGAACGCAAAGCAAACGAUGUGGUGGUGUUGCUAGGUGCCAUUUAAUCUACAACAAAAGUAAUGCAAAAUACACUAAGACAAACGUAUCCAUGAUAGAGCAAAUUACAUUAAACUAUUUUAACAGAAUCUACUCCCACUAAAAUCAAUAUCCCUCUAUUGAAACUUAGUGAUUCAGGAUCCACAACUAACAAGUCUACUAGUGAGCUUUAGCAUCACCGCUAGCAAACGAGGUAGAUCGGUAAGCAACUUUUGCUAAUCAUAUCACAUAUGACUCCUUUUGUUGGGUGACAUCUCUAUGUCUCGGCGCCCAACCUUUAUGCCCCAAGGUCCUUAACCGUUAAGAUAACCUUGUUAAGCAAACCAACCCUUAUGCGUGUAAGUGUCCGACACAAACCCGUCUAGUCAAGGAAAACUAGUGGCACCCUAAUUUCAUAGACCCACCACUAAUUGUACAAGACAUGGGACGGUGCAAGUUUUAGUUGGGAGGGCAUACUAACUUAAACUUUGUGAGGGAUCGUUCUACUUCUAACAUCACAGCAUGCAGAAAGUAAAACAUAAACAGAAUAGCAUUCACAUACUUGUGACACAGUAUGGCCCGUUUUCAUAUGGUGAUCUCCAUCUCCAUAGAACCUGUUCACCAUGGUGAUCUCCAUCUCCAUGUUCCAUGUGCGCCAUCCUCCUAGUGAUGAGUCCUCCAAGAACUAGAGCAUGCUAUUACGCCUAAUAGCUAGUAAAAAAUCUACUAAUGAAGAUUACAUAGUUGCUUGGGUCAUCACAGAUUGGUACGCAGACCAUUAAAUACAAUAAAGUGACAACACAUAUGGCUCCUGCCAUGUUGCCGUACGCGCGACACGCAGGUCACGAAUGAGUUACACACAUGCAUCACAUACACAAGGGGGCCAUACUGAUCACAAGAUAUAUACAAACAUCCUGCAAAACAGAGUUAGGCGUCCUAACGUUCUAAACUUCGGAGGCCCGAAACUCCAUCUUCCAAGCCGAAUUUGGGAAAUCUAAUUUCGCCGAAAACGGCAAAGCCGUUGAAUUUCAUGUGUAACUUUUCCUGUAGAUCAAUUUUUAUAUAAAAUUCGCCCCGAUCCGAGAUCGUACCGAAAAGUUACGGCUGAUUUACCGAAGCAUAUGCAUACGGCAAAAAUCUCGACCCCGGCAGUAGAUCUCAUCUACUAUUGCACAUCUAAUGCGCCUGGCGUAUGACCCUGGAUCUCGAUUCGACCAAUCAUAUUGAUCUUCGCUCACUGCAACUGGAUUUACGUGUAUCACUUAACUCCGAUGGCAGAAACCGACCGGUAGGAGUAUGUCGUUACACUACCAUUGCAGCAAGGGCACGAAACCAGGACAUAGAUCAAACAGAAAACUCGCAUAUCUCCAUAUGCACACAUCCCGAAUCCAAAACUAAGCAGCUACGGCUCUGAUACCAUUGUUGGGAUACGAGGUAGGCUACACUAGCGCAAUUCAAAAUUCUACCGCGUAUAACCAGGAAGAACUGCCGUAUAAGGAUCACGGGAUUACCACUCGACGCACUACUGGUGCGGAAGAUCUAGAUAUGCGUCGAUGCAGUGAAGACGAUCACGUAGUCAUACGUAGUCGAUCACGUCCAGCAGCUCCUCAGCAGCUCGUCCACGUGCAGCAAGAUCGCCUCCGGUGCCGCGGCUCGUCGUCGGCUCGUCGUGGCUCGUCGGCGGCUCGUCCAAGUGCUGCAGGCGCAACACCUCCAAGGUAUCCACACGUGCAGGGAGGAAGCGUCGCAAACCGGACUGCUAGAUCCGCGAGUUGCAACAGGCGAGGGCGUGGGAGGCGCGGCAGGUGUGUUUCGCCAAAAGGUGUAAACCCUAGGGCGCUCCCACCUCUGGAUCCGAGGCCCAUUAGUACUUCUAAACCUAAUCCAACUCGGAUCAGAUCCGAAUUGGGCUUCCAGCCCCUUAAGUGUGUGACCCUAUGGGUUCGGAUACGUAUAGACAUGGCCCGAGUACUCCUACUCGGCCCAAUAGUUGGUAGCGGCCUCUAGCAAGACGUGCCAACUCCUAUACGCACACGAAGAUCAUAUCAGACGAACCAUCACAACAUAAUAUACAUGCUAUUCCCUUUGCCUCAUGAUAUUUGGUCUAGCUUCAAGCCGACCGCUCUUUCUCGAUCCUGUGAUUCGGAAUCCCUUUGUAGGUUAACUCUUAACCGUACGUAGCAUGGCCAUGCAUUUUUGGAUCCGAUCACUCGAGGGGCCCAGAGAUAUCACUCUCAAUCAGAGAGGGGCAAAUCCCAUCUUGAUUGACCAUGUCUCAUAGCAUGCUUCUUGACAAACCCGAAAGCUACCUUUAUAACUACCCUGUUACGGCGUAGUGUUUGACAGCCCCUAAGUAGGUCGAUCCACAUCUAGAAUACAUGCGACAAUCUCAGGUCUAAGGACAAAGCGUAUAUGUUGUUUAAAGAGAGAACUACUUCUCGUGUUGGGUCAGUCCUAACACAUUUCUCCACAUGUGUCCACAUUAUUAGUUCAACAUCUCCAUAUCCAUGACUUGUGAAACAUAGUCAUCAACUAAUACAUGUGCUAGUCUAAUAUUCAUGUGUGUCCUCACAUGAACUCCGACUAGGGACAACUUUAGAAUAACCAUACAAGUAAAGAGUUUCACAUACAAUUCACAUAAUUGCAAAUCAAUUCAAGUAGCCUUUAAUGGAUAUUCAAUGAACACAAUAUACAAAUCAUGGAUACAAAUGGAAUAUCAUCAUCUCUAUGAUUGCCUCUAGGGCAUACCUCCAACAGUCAGCGGACAAGUGCCAGAAGAAGCGGAGGAAGCCUUGGCGCCAGCUGCAUACAUCGAGUCAAUGAGGAUCCCGGUCUUCAUAGCCCUUCGUCACAUGGCCGAUCGCGCCAAGUUGGCCAAGACUCGUGAAGAAGAGGACGCGUACAAACAUCAGGCUCAAGAGGUGCACCAACGUAUUCAUUUUCUGGAGGACUCCCGCCCGGGGAUCGUCGGCGAGAUAGACCGCCUCAAACGCCGAAGGGCAGAGCUCGCCAAGGAGAUGGAGCAGGUGACCAAGGCAAUCAGUGCCGAAGAGAAAAGACUCCAAGAACUCCCUUCUGUCAUUGCCGAUCUAAAAUAGGAGAGGCAGCAUUUAGCUCAUGAAGCCCUGAAGCUCCACCGUAGCGCAUCAGAAGUCCCCGGAUCGGCGGAUGAUGACCAACGGGUCUUGGACUCUGCCGAUCAGAUCCGGUGUCGGGCGAUUGCGGCUAUCGAUGCCCUUCUGGGUAAUUUUAAAAGCACUGACUAUUUUGUACGAACCUUUAAUAACUGCUUUGACCGUCCUUCGCGACGCCUCUUUUAUUCAUUGCCCUUCUUACUUCCGAUGGGACGCACCCUUACCAAAUAUCGACGCCUCUUUCUCUUAUAAAUGCCGGCCUAGACUCCCCCUUCCGAGAGUACCAAUUUGGCUUCGGCUUUAUUUUCUCAACCCGUUCUCAUCGGCGCGACCUUCUGUCAUGUCUUCGUCGUCUUCCUCUUCCUCUGUCAACCAGGUGAAACUCUAGCCUUGAUUCUCCUUUUCUUUUUAACUCUUUUGAAGAGGAUCACCUUUUUAAUCUUUCUUUCUUUCAGCCACGACGUCUUAGCCCCGAGCUCGAACGCGCCAUCGAACUCAUGCACUCUGAUGAACUGUUGUCGUCAGAGAACAAGGAUCUAAUCAGAGCUCAUCGUGAUGAACUUCAAGAACAUGUCCCCGCUGACAUCCGUCGGAUCUGGGACUUUCUGGACGGCAACGCCUGCCGGCGACCUCAAGCCGACAGAAGUCAUCCGCUUCCUCCACGGGUUGCCCUUGAAGAUGCGGCAGCGGGAACAUCGCGCCCGGCCAUGGACCAGAGCCACCCUCUCCCCCGUCAAGUCGAAGCGGAGACUUCGAUGAAAGAGAUAGAAGAAGAGUACAUCCGUCUUAUGAUAGAGUUAGGUCGGGCUGAGAGAGAGCGUAAGACAAAGAAUAGUUAAUUAUUAUUUUUUGUUCUAAGGGUGACUUUGUACCUUGUCGGCCGUGUAACCCACCGUCCAUACCAAAUGAAUACAUCGACUGAUUUGGACGAUUACAUGUUUUUUCUAGACGAACCGUUUUGUAUUGGCUGUGUACCGUUGUCUUGUGGCCAAUCCUUUAUGCUCCGACCCAUAUACUAGGGUUGUAUCUUUUCAAGUACCUUCCGUUCAGAGCCCUAGUAAACUCUUCUCCCUCGAUUGUUUCCAAAAUAUAAGCAUUUCCUGGAGCACAUCUGCCGAUUUUAUAUGGCCCUUCCCAUGCAGGGGACCACUUUCCGAAUUUAGGAUCUUUCGACCCAAUCGGCAACACUAACUUCCAAACCAGGUCUCCAGGGGAGAAUUGUUUGACUUUGACCUUCUUAUCGUACCACCUGGCUACUUUUUUCUUGUUUUCCUCAAUGCUUAUCAAAGCUCUCAACCGCUGGCCAGCCAAGUCAUCAAGUUCCCUUUUCAUAAGUGACGAGUAGUCUUCGGCCAUUAACUGGUCCUGGAGCGAAAUGCGCCUCGACCCCGCCCUUGAUUCCCAUGGUAGUACUGCAUCGUGAUCGUACACCAACUGAUAAGGGGAUAACUUGGUGGCCCCAUGGCAAGCCAUCCUAUAUGCCCAUAGGGCUUCAGUUAGACACAGAUGCCAUUUUUUAGGCUGCUCCUCUAUCUUCCUUUUGAUUAACUUAAUUAUCCCUUUGUUGGAGGAUUCGGCCUAGCCGUUGGCUUGGGCGUAAUAUGGAGAGGAGUUUAAUAAUUUGAUUCCCAUAUCGGCCGUGAAUUCCUCGAAUUCCCCUGAUGUGAACAUUGUUCCCUGAUCGGUCGUAAUAGUCUUUGGAAUGCCGAAUCGGUAGACGAUAUGGUUCCUUACGAAGUCGGCCAUGAUAGCCGAUGUCACGGCUCUUAACGGAAUUGCUUCCACCCAUUUGGUAAAGUAAUCUGUACCCACCAGAAUAAACUUGUGUCCUUUGCUUGAUGGAGGGUAAAUUUGGCCGAUAAGGUCUAUUCCCCAUCCUCUGAACGGCCAUGGCUUGAUGAUGGGAUUCAUGGCCGAUGCGGGCGCACGUUGGACAUUCCCGAACUUCUGACAAUCCUGGCAUCCCUUAUAAUAUUUGAAGCAAUCUUCGAGGAUCGUUGGCCAGUAAUACCCAUUAUUCCUGAUCAUCCAUUUCAUCUUAUGGGCCGAUUGGUGGGCUCCACAUCCCCUUCAUGGAUUUCGCCCAUCAGAGUCUUAGCCUCCUCUGUUCCCAGACAUUUGAGUAGGACGCCGUCAAUUGUUCGGUAGAACAAGUCAUCUCCAAGCAGUACGUAUUUAGUAGCAUGGAAACGCACUCGUCGAUCCACUUUCUUAGACGGAUCUUUCAAGUAGUCGGCAAUUUCUUUCCGCCAGUCAUCGGCCGCAAGUUCCAAAGCCAUAGCGCCUAGAAUUGGCCGAUAUCCAGAUGCGUGCUGGGCGAGUUUGUUGGCAUCCUCGUUGUGAUCUCUUGGGAUGUGCUCGAUCACUGCCGAUUUAAAUUCUUCUAAAAGCUGCAGGCAAUCUUCAUAAUAAAUUCUCAAUACAUCGUCCUUGCAUUCAGACCUCCCCGUUAAUUGAUCCACAAUAAGCAUGGAAUCUCCGAAGAUUUCAACAGAAUCGGCCCUGACUUCUCUUAGUAGUUGCAAUCCCUUCAACACAGCUCGGUACUCUGCUUGAUUGUUAGUGGCGGUGGCUUCUAUCGGCAGAGAAAAAUCAUAACUUGCCCCCCAAGGCGAUAUGAGGACGAUGCCGAUUCCUGAUCCGACCCCACAUGACGAUCCAUCAAAGUAUAAAGUCCAAGGUACCGGUUCCACGAAGGUGAUCUCUGGCCCGCAGUGUUGGGCGACGAAAUCGGCCAUGACCUGACCCUUGACGGCUUUAGCCGAUUCAUACCGUAGGUCAAAUUCUGAUAAAGCUAAAAUCCAUUUGCCGAUUCGUCCCUUCAAGAUCGGCAGUGACAGCAUGUAUUUGACCACUUCAUCUUUGCAUACGACCACACAUUCCGCCGUCAGUAAAUAGUGCCUGAGCUUGGUGCAUGAGAAGUAUAGACAUAGGCAUAACCGCUCGACUGGAGGAUAUCUUGUUUCGACGUCCAGAAGUCUUCUACUGACAUAAUAAAUUAUUCGUUCCUUUCCCUCGAACUCCUGGACUAGGGCCGACCCGAUAGCCUUUUCAUCGACUGAUAAGUAUAAUUUAAAUGGCUUACCAGUUUGAGGAGGGACCAGCACCGGUGGUGAAACCAAGUACUGCUUGAUAUCUUCUAGCACCUUGCGUUGCUCCUCCCCCCAUAUGAACUCCUGGACGGGCUUCAACUUUAAUUGUGGUGUGAAAGCCUGGAUCCGCCCAGAUAGAUUAGAUAUGAAUCUUCUGAUGAAAUUCACUUUGCCGAUUAAAGAUUGCAAUUUAGUUUUAUUCUGCGGGGCUACUACUUUGUUGAUAGCCGCUAUGGUCUUCCGAUUGAUUUCUAUUCCCCGCUCGUGCACCAUGAAUCCUAGGAACUGUCCGGCGGACACGCCGAAGGCACAUUUAUUCGGGUUCAUCUUCAGCCCAUGUUUCUUAGUGCACUCCAGUACUUUUCGCAAAUCGGCCAGAUGCUCUUCGUGUCCUCUGGACUUAACUACGAUGUCGUCGAUGUAGAUUUCUACCAGUAUGCCGAUGAGUUUGUGAAAUAUGUAGUUCAUGGCUCUCUGAUACGUGGCGCCGGCAUUUUUCAAGCCAAAAGUCAUCACCACCCACUCGAAUAAGCCAAGGUGGCCCGGGCAUCUGAAGGCCAUUUUGGGUAUGUCCUCUUCGUCCAUAAGUAUUUGAUUGUACCCAGCGUUUCCGUCCAUGAAGCUCAUAAUCUUGUGUCCCGCGGCGGCGUCUAUCAGCACAUCGGCCGUUGGCAUGGGGUAUCCGUCCAUCGGUGUGGCCUGAUUAAGAUUCCUGAAAUCAACGCACACGUGUAGCUUUCCGUUCUUCUUGUACACUGGUACAAUGUUGGAUAUCCACUCGGUAUAACGGCAUUGCCGAAUAAAUUUUGCUUCAAUUAGCCGAGUUAUUUCGGCUUUUAUGUCUGGUAGAAUUUUAGGAUUGCAGCGCCGUGUAGGCUGUUGGAACGGCCGAUACCCUGAUUUUAUGGGUAGCCGAUGUUCAACAAUGGAUCGAUCUAAACCGGGCAUCUCAUGAUACUCCCAAGCAAAACAAUCCUUAAAUUCUCUUAACAAAUUUGUCAAUUUAUAUUUGUAUUCUGGGUCUAAAUUUGCACUAAUAUAAGUCGGCCUUGGUUUGGUGCCAUCGCCUAAGUCUAUCAUCUCUAAUGAAUCGGCCGACGUGAACCCGUACUGUAGCUUCCCAUCUUCUCGGGCGAACUGAUCCAUUUAUUCUGAGUCUUCGGAGCCGACUGCUCAGAUCGGCUGUAGGCCAAAAUCGGACACCUUCAGGAAAUUGGUAUCCUAUACUCUGCCGGAUAUGCACUUGACGGUUUCGCAGCUCCACUGCUGCGUGUCGGCUGCCGCGAUGCUGUAUGCGGAAUCGGCGUUGACUACCUCGAUGUUGUCGCCGACCCAUUGUACAAGACAUUGAUGCAUCGUCGAUGGGAUGCAGCAAUUUGCGUGUAUCCAGUCCCGGCCGAGUAGCAUGUUGUAGGAUCCCUUGCCAUUAAUAAUAAAGAAGGUAGUGGGAAGGGUCUUACUGCCGAUGGUGAGGUCGACGCAGAGGGCACCGCGAGCGGGGGACACGUUGCCCUCGAAGUCUUUGAGCAUCAUGUCUGUCUUGGUCAAGUCAUCAUCGUUUUUCCCAAGCUUCCGGAGCACGGCAUAUGGCAUGAUGUUGACUGCAGCUCCUCCGUCUACCAUCAACCUGGUGAGGGGUCGGCCGUUGACGUGCCCUUUAAGGAACAACGCUUUCAGAUGUUGACAUUUGUCAUCUUCGGGCUUCUCGAACGUGGCUAUCAUUGGCUCCAAAGCCAAUUGUGCCAUCUGUUCUUCUAUCGCCGCCACAUCCUGUUGGUCGGCAGGGGUCAUAAAUUCCAUCGGCAGUAUGAAAACCAUACCGAUGUCGGCUGCCGAUUCAUCGCCCGCUGAUUCGUCGCCUCCUCUGUCGUUUCUUUUGGGGCGCCACACCUGAGACCUACCUUCCCUCUUGUCCGUCGUGCUCUGUUGUUCCUCCUCCUGCUGUUCCCACUGGCGGAGACGUUGGAUCCUUCGUUUUUGAGAUUUGAUCAAUCCAUCAGGACACCACCUAGGGUUUACUGGUUUGGUCCUUGGCCUGGCGCGUUCCCAUUCCGGCUCAUGUCCUAAAGGGUUUUCGUCUGUCACCCAAGCAUCGGCCAUCUCUUCAAGCCACUGUGAACGUUGGCCCUGUUUUCUGACCGGUCAUGUCGAUCAGACCUGCCCCCCGGCCUGUCAUGGCAUCUAUCUUCCGACCGGUCAUAUCGGUCACUUCUGCCCUCCAGCCGAUCACGCACGGGAGGGCGCCGGUCGUCUUGGUCGCGCCAGUUCCUCCUGAUCGGUUCUGGUCUUCCGUCUCUGGAGUGAGACCUGUUGAACGGCCGAUUGUUACGAUACGGGCCGUUGCAUUCCGGGCAAUUAUCGGCCGAAGGUAGCCUGAGGUUGCUUUCCCAACAGUGGAUGAAGAACGGGCACCUCCAGUGAUCUUCGUGUCGCCGCAUCGCUUCUUCCCGGGAUCUUGAGCGUUCAUGUUGACGCUGAUAUUUUUGGAGCAGGAAUUGGGAAGUAAUGCGUGGCUCACCUGAUUCGCCAUCGUCAUCCUCCAUCCGCCGCUUCCCCUUGACGUCUUCGGGCGUCGCUUGAUUUCUUGGGUCCACGGCACCACUCUUUUUAGCCGAUUCGGACGUCAGCACCUUUGUUUGGAGCGAGUUCCUCCCUGUGUCAACCAUGUUGGUGGGGAAGGGGUGUUGGUCGAUCUUCAUCGGCUUGACUGAUUUUGUUGGUACUUCAAACCUAAGUCUGCCCUGCUCAAUGGCUGACUGUAUCUGCUGCCGGAAGAUUUUGCACUCAUUAGUGUCAUGAGAUGUAGCGUUGUGCCACUUGCAAUAUUUCAUCUUCUUCAGUUGUUCGGCAGAAGGUAUUGUAUGGUAUGGCGAGAGCUUGAUCUGUCCUUCCUGGAGGAGAAGGUCGAAGAUUUUGUCGGCCUUCGUUGUGUCAAAGCCGAAUGUUUCUGGCCCUUUCUUGCCGAACGGGCAUGAUAUAGGCUUCUUUCCCUUGACCCACUCCGCAAGACCGAUCUCAGCAUCUUCUUCGGCGUUAACCUCUUCCAGGAACGCAACCUUCUUAUAGAAGUUCCUUCGUGGAUCGAAAGAACGUACUUCCUGUCCAGACAAUCGGUGGACGAUCUGGCUUAAGCUCUCAAACUCCUGAGAGGCGUACUUCUCUUUGAUGUGGGGCGGGAGACCUUGAAAGGCUAUAUCAGCCAACUGUGCGUCGUUUAGAGCCAGAGAGUAGCAUUUGUUCCUAAUUUCCCGAAACCUCUGUACAUAUGAGGAUAUCGGCUCGUAGCUUCUCUGCUUGAGGCUGGUCAAAUCGGAUAGCUUCAUCUCAUGCACCCCGGCGUAGAAGUAUUUAUGAAACUAUCUUUCCAAAUCGGCCCAUGUAAUAAUCGAGUUCGGCGGUAAUGUCGUAAACCACUGAAAGGCCGAUCCGGACAAGGAUGAUGAGAAUAGCCGCACCCGUAGAGCAUCUUGCGCAGCUGCCUCUCCGCAUUGGAUGAUAAAUCUAUUCACGUGCUCCACGGUUGAAGUGUCAUCCAUCCCCGAGAACUUGGUGAAGUCAGGAACUUUAUACCGAUGGGGAAACGGCAGUAGAUCGUAUGUAGACGGGUAUGGUGUCCUAUAGGUGUAAGUUUGUACCUUCGGCUUCAAGCCGAAUUGUUCCUGAAUUACUUCUGCUAUACGUGCCGACCAAUCCGGCUGUUGCUGGUAAGCCGUUGGCUGAGGGAUUGGCACGUGCUGGUAUACCGGAGGUGGAAUGGCCUGAUGCUGAGUGAAAGUAGGUGGCAUCUGAGUGAAAGCCGGCUGUGUAUUCAGGGUCGGCUGUUUGAAUGAGCCACUCGUUUCAUCAUAUAGUACGAGCUCUGCUGCUUUGCUUAUCUCCGGUGCGACAGGCUGGUACGGCGGCAUAGUUGGUCGAGUGGCCGCCUGGAAAGAUGCCUGGAAUUGGGGACUUCCUUGACUGGCCGAUUAAUCCUGAACGGCCGUAGCUGAUGGUGCCCCCCAAGGCCCUGGGCUAACUGGAGGGAACGACGCAGAGGACAGCUGGACGGGGUGUGGCUGAAUGUGUUGUGUACCAUUAUACCCCAUAGGAAUUGAUGAUGAGGAAGCGCCUGAACCCCCAAUAGAAAGUUGGAUCGGCUGAGGAACCGAAUAACCCUUGUUUGGUGGAAUCGGCUAAAUAUAUGCCGGUCCCUUGUAUCCUUGUGGUGCUCCGCUAGCGAUGGAGUUGAUGACGGCAUUGUACACCGUAUUUGCAAGCACCGGGGAUUGAUCAAUGAAGGCGUGAUAAACGGAUUGUUGGACCAUCUCGGCCAUCUUGUCCAAGUCCUCGGUGAUUGUGAUUUGGCAGGGAGCUGGAAAUGGAGUCUUUCUGAUAGUUUCCCCGCUUCUGGUACGACUAAAGGACUGCAAGCAAAUCUUUCGGUAUUGUGCCGUCUGCUUCUCUAGUUCUUCCUUCUGGUCGUCCCUGAGAUCUGCCUCUAUUACUUCAAUGACGUUAUCUUCGGAGACUUCAGCAGCUUUCGACAUGGUGGCGGUUGUAUUUGUCCCACCGGGCGUGCCAAAAGUAUGUUGGCGCUAGAAAUCGGUCAACCGAAUCCCCAGCGUCUGACACACGACCCGGGAGAAUCUGCUUAACUCCUAUUCGGGUGAUUGCCCUGGUGCAGUUCGCGCGACGUGCCAGCCAAUCUGACCUGUUGAUUAGCAAGGAAGAAUACGUGUCAGGUCCGGAAGUCGCGAUCGGCUAAAUUUCCGAUCUCGAGAGAGCUUAUCAGCGAAUCGGCCGAUUUGCCGUAAUAAAGAAAUCGGCUAUAAAGCAACCGAUCACUGUAGCAGUGUAGACAAAAACUACUGGAGUAAUC
This 20562-nucleotide long non-coding RNA is filed under the name Setaria viridis. RNAcentral describes it as "long non-coding RNA (SVIR_LNC000230)". The record is from RNAcentral. Lineage: Eukaryota; Viridiplantae; Streptophyta; Magnoliopsida; Poales; Poaceae.